This is a long non-coding RNA of Bicyclus anynana (squinting bush brown), 1915 nucleotides long. RefSeq lists it as uncharacterized. NCBI's taxonomy places the organism in Eukaryota, Metazoa, Arthropoda, Insecta, Lepidoptera, Nymphalidae. The transcript has 2 exons. The record is from RefSeq and is a predicted model, not a curated record.
GGUUCUGUGUUCUAGCCAGGGGCCUAAUUGUCUAACGCAAACGAUUGAAUUUGACAGUUAAAAUCGUACGUUUUUACUUGUCAAACGGCUAUUUCGGAUUGUGUAAGCCAAUGGAAAGCCAUCGGUUGGGCAUAGUUAGUUCAUUACGAUUAGAUCGUUAUUUUUAUACGAAGAGUGAAUGAUUUGUUAAGAUUUGACAGUUAUUUGCGAUUGUCUUCGAAUUGUGUAAAGUUUUAUGUUCAUAGCUUAUGUCAAAAACUUACGAUGGGUCUUGAGUCACCUUUGAUCGUAAAACGGACAAAUUGUGGAUGUCCAAAAUUCCAAAAUAAUAAUUUAUAUUUUAUUAAAUAUCUAAAAUUAAUAUUUUUUCCAUUCUAAAUCUCUCAAUUCAGUCUCCCCGUCCACAGUUAGCAUUUUUAGGACGAAACUUUGCGAAGUGUUUUGUUUGUAAACAAUGAACUCUGUUAAAAAGAGUAAUAAAUAAUAUAUUCUUUGCAAUGAACCUAUAAAGUCAAAACAAUGAAGUUAAUUGAGUGCUAUUAAUCGAUUUAUAUAGGAUGCUGAGACUUGGACUCUGAGAGAAAGUGAGAAAAAGAAUAUACACGCUCUAGAAAUAUGUUGAAGAAGAAUGCUUGCAUAUCCUGGACACAGUCUCACUCCUCCAAGAACUGGGGAUCAAACAGCAUCUUUCUUCCAGCAUCCAAUGUCUUCUUACACACACUUUCUUUGGACGUACCAGAGAAAGAGACGAUAAGUCCAUAGAGCGACAUAAACUCAAUACCUACGAUAUUUAAUACCAUACCAUGUUUUAGAUUUCUGCGACAUCUUGCAUGUUGUUGUAUCCAAUGUGUUGGGAUCUGUGUUCCAGGGCUUAUGUGUUUAGUUAAGUUUGCUGGUUAUUAAGCAAAAAGGAAUCGAAUUUCAUUUUUAAAAUUAUGAUUAUGGCGAACGAACUCUUUCGUCAUCGCUCAUAGGAUAUUUGGAAUAUGCCCUAUAACUGCAGACUCCAAUAUUGCAAAAAGCACCUGCAAUACAGUGGAAUAACAUAUUGGUGUGCUGAAGAAAAGAUGGCAAAGGCUUUUAGCUGAUAGGUCAUUGUACUGAUGACCCUGUUAUCUGGUCAAAUCAUAAAUGUGUGUGUAUUAUCAAAAUAUUUACAUAGAUUGUGAAAUGCUGAUGAUAUUUGAUUUGGUCUUUGAUAUUUGAAAAUAAAAGAAUACUUACUUCGCUAAGUUUGUUUUAUGUAGUCUUUUCCAAAACUAAAGCUUUCAGUUUAACAUUUUACUAUUAAUAUUUUUUUUUACCAUUACAAUAAUUAAAUAAAUUAUUCAAAAAAAUGUAGUUGUAAAAAUACAUUUAUAAUACCUGUGUAUGUUCACCCCCCUGCAGUUUCACCCACAUAAUUCCUGUUCCCGUGGGAAGGAAUAUAUGGCCUAUAAUACUCAAAUGUGGAUUUUUAUUGGUAAAAUAAUCUUCAACAUUGGUUCAGUAGGUCCAGUGUUUACCCCUACAAUCUCACAAACUGUAUCUUUUUAUUACAGUAUAUUGACUACUAGUAUUCUAAGAAUUAUGAAAAAGACACCUCUGAGGGUGAAAUAGGGGUUGGAAGUUUAUAAAAAAAAGAUUUUUUUAAGUUUAUUUAUUAUAAUAAUAAUAAAUACAGUAAACAUAGACUUUCAGGUAGACAUUUUUUAAACCCUGAAACCACAAAGCUUAAAAAUAAUCAAAUAUAUACUUCUCAUCCAAACAGUCGGCCUGUACAGUACUUGCAGACACUGUUUUGAUGAUUAGUAUAUUUUCUUAAAUCAGAAAAACGAGUCAUCAUCAUGGAUCAGUCAUCAAUCAUGGAUUCAGCCCUGCCCACUGUACUUGACAACAUAUUGGCCAUACUUAAAUGUUAAAGCAUGUUUAUUUU